CGCCCGGGCUUCGGCCUGGUUAUUCAUAACCCUUUGUUGUCCGACUCUGUUGCCUCCGGGGCGACCCUGCCUUCGGGCGGGGGCUCCGGGUGGACACUUCAAACUCUUGCGUAACUUUGCAGUCUGAGUAAACUUAAUUAAUAAAUUAAAACUUUUAACAACGGAUCUCUUGGUUCUGGCAUCGAUGAAGAACGCAGCGAAAUGCGAUAAGUAAUGUGAAUUGCAGAAUUCAGUGAAUCAUCGAAUCUUUGAACGCACAUUGCGCCCCCUGGUAUUCCGGGGGGCAUGCCUGUUCGAGCGUCAUUUCACCACUCAAGCCUCGCUUGGUAUUGGGCAACGCGGUCCGCCGCGUGCCUCAAAUCGUCCGGCUGGGUCUUCUGUCCCCUAAGCGUUGUGGAAACUAUUCGCUAAAGGGUGUUCGGGAGGCUACGCCGUAAAACAACCCCAUUUCUAAGGUUGACCUCGGAUCAGGUAGGGAUACCCGCUGAACUUAAGCAUAUCAAUAAGCGGAGGAAAAGAAACCAACAGGGAUUGCUCUAGUAACGGCGAGUGAAGCAGCAAUAGCUCAAAUUUGAAAUCUGGCGUCUUCGACGUCCGAGUUGUAAUUUGUAGAGGAUGCUUCUGAGUGGCCACCGACCUAAGUUCCUUGGAACAGGACGUCAUAGAGGGUGAGAAUCCCGUAUGCGGUCGGAAAGGCGCUCUAUACGUAGCUCCUUCGACGAGUCGAGUUGUUUGGGAAUGCAGCUCUAAAUGGGAGGUAAAUUUCUUCUAAAGCUAAAUAUUGGCCAGAGACCGAUAGCGCACAAGUAGAGUGAUCGAAAGAUGAAAAGCACUUUGGAAAGAGAGUUAAAAAGCACGUGAAAUUGUUAAAAGGGAAGGGAUUGCAACCAGACUUGCUCGCGGUGUUCCGCCGGUCUUCUGACCGGUCUACUCGCCGCGUUGCAGGCCAGCAUCGUCUGGUGCCGCUGGAUAAGACUUGAGGAAUGUAGCUCCCUCGGGAGUGUUAUAGCCUCUUGUGAUGCAGCGAGCGCC
This 1032-nucleotide ribosomal RNA is filed under the name fungal endophyte. RNAcentral describes it as "eukaryotic LSU rRNA". The stretch from base 458 to 1032 matches the Rfam family "Eukaryotic large subunit ribosomal RNA", at positions 1 to 582 of the family's 3401-position model. Lineage: Eukaryota; Fungi. The record is from RNAcentral.